ACUCCUACGGGAGGCAGCAGUGGGGAAUAUUGCACAAUGGGGGAAACCCGUGAUGCAGUUUAUGCCGCGUGUGUGAAGAAGGCCUUCGGGUUGUAAAGCACUUUCAGUAGGGAGGAAGGUAGUGUAGUUAACACCUGCAUUAUUUGACGUUACCUACAGAAGAAGCACCGGCUAACUCCGUGCCAGCAGCCGCGGUAAUACGGAGGGUGCGAGCGUUAAUCGGAAUUACUGGGCGUAAAGCGCAUGCAGGUGGUUUGUUAAGUCAGAUGUGAAAGCCCGGGGCUCAACCUCGGAAUUGCAUUUGAAACUGGCAGACUAGAGUACUGUAGAGGGGUGAGAA
This 340-nucleotide ribosomal RNA is filed under the name uncultured bacterium. Its description in RNAcentral is "bacterial SSU rRNA". It matches the Rfam family "Bacterial small subunit ribosomal RNA", at positions 335 to 665 of the family's 1533-position model. The record is from RNAcentral.